Molecule: ribosomal RNA, 1372 nt
Filed under: uncultured bacterium
Lineage: Bacteria
Description: bacterial SSU rRNA
Rfam family: Bacterial small subunit ribosomal RNA
Source: RNAcentral
GAUGAACGCUGGCGGCGUGCCUAAUACAUGCAAGUCGAGCGAACGGACGAGAAGCUUGCUUCUCUGAUGUUAGCGGCGGACGGGUGAGUAACACGUGGAUAACCUACCUAUAAGACUGGGAUAACUUCGGGAAACCGGAGCUAAUACCGGAUAAUAUUUUGAACCGCAUGGUUCAAAAGUGAAAGACGGUCUUGCUGUCACUUAUAGAUGGAUCCGCGCUGCAUUAGCUAGUUGGUAAGGUAACGGCUUACCAAGGCAACGAUGCAUAGCCGACCUGAGAGGGUGAUCGGCCACACUGGAACUGAGACACGGUCCAGACUCCUACGGGAGGCGGCAGUAGGGAAUCUUCCGCAAUGGGCGAAAGCCUGACGGAGCAACGCCGCGUGAGUGAUGAAGGUCUUCGGAUCGUAAAACUCUGUUAUUAGGGAAGAACAUAUGUGUAAGUAACUGUGCACAUCUUGACGGUACCUAAUCAGAAAGCCACGGCUAACUACGUGCCAGCAGCCGCGGUAAUACGUAGGUGGCAAGCGUUAUCCGGAAUUAUUGGGCGUAAAGCGCGCGUAGGCGGUUUUUUAAGUCUGAUGUGAAAGCCCACGGCUCAACCGUGGAGGGUCAUUGGAAACUGGAAAACUUGAGUGCAGAAGAGGAAAGUGGAAUUCCAUGUGUAGCGGUGAAAUGCGCAGAGAUAUGGAGGAACACCAGUGGCGAAGGCGACUUUCUGGUCUGUAACUGACGCUGAUGUGCGAAAGCGUGGGGAUCAAACAGGAUUAGAUACCCUGGUAGUCCACGCCGUAAACGAUGAGUGUUAAGUGUUAGGGGGUUUCCGCCCCUUAGUGCUGCAGCUAACGCAUUAAGCACUCCGCCUGGGGAGUACGACCGCAAGGUUGAAACUCAAAGGAAUUGACGGGGACCCGCACAAGCGGUGGAGCAUGUGGUUUAAUUCGAAGCAACGCGAAGAACCUUACCAAAUCUUGACAUCCUUUGACAACUCUAGAGAUAGAGCCUUCCCCUUCGGGGGACAAAGUGACAGGUGGUGCAUGGUUGUCGUCAGCUCGUGUCGUGAGAUGUUGGGUUAAGUCCCGCAACGAGCGCAACCCUUAAGCUUAGUUGCCAUCAUUAAGUUGGGCACUCUAAGUUGACUGCCGGUGACAAACCGGAGGAAGGUGGGGAUGACGUCAAAUCACCAUGCCCCUUAUGAUUUGGGCUACACACGUGCUACAAUGGACAAUACAAAGGGCAGCGAAACCGCGAGGUCAAGCAAAUCCCAUAAAGUUGUUCUCAGUUCGGAUUGUAGUCUGCAACUCGACUACAUGAAGCUGGAAUCGCUAGUAAUCGUAGAUCAGCAUGCUACGGUGAAUACGUUCCCGGGUCU